Molecule: long non-coding RNA, 266 nt
Filed under: Phasianus colchicus (ring-necked pheasant)
Lineage: Eukaryota; Metazoa; Chordata; Aves; Galliformes; Phasianidae
Description: lncRNA (ENSPCLG00000005603.1)
Source: RNAcentral
UGAAUACUCAGAGAAGGAGUGGGUAGUUGCAGACAAAUUUGGAGGCCGGUGCUCAAGUCAACAUGAUGCCAGGAAAUAUUAAUGUAGGAGAAACGCUGGCAGUGUAAGGCUUUCCCUGUUUUGUGUCUGUGGCUCAGUCAAGUGAGAGGAAUGCCUUCUCCAACAUGCAGAGUUUUCCAGUGGCUCAGAUGAAGCUGAUGAACAAACAUGCACUGCAGGCCUCUGUGACCAGUAUAGAUAGACGAGACAUAAUAAGGAGUAUCUAA